RNAcentral lists this ribosomal RNA (242 nucleotides) under uncultured Pseudomonadota bacterium. Its description in RNAcentral is "uncultured proteobacterium partial 16S ribosomal RNA". It matches the Rfam family "Bacterial small subunit ribosomal RNA", at positions 554 to 792 of the family's 1533-position model. The record is from RNAcentral. Lineage: Bacteria; Pseudomonadati; Pseudomonadota.
UUGGGUUUAAAGUGCGCGUAGGCGGUCUGACAAGUCGGGGUGUGAAAGCCCCGGGGCUCAACUCGGGAAGUGCAUCCGAAACUGUCGGACUUGAGUACGGGAGGGGGAAGUGGAAUUCCUGGUGUAGGGGGUGAAAUCCGUAGAUAUCAGGAGGAACACCGGUGGCGAAGGCGACUUCCUGGACCGAUACUGACGCUGAGGCGCGAAAGCGUGGGGAGCAAACAGGAUUAGAUACCCGAGUA